This is a long non-coding RNA of Sitophilus oryzae (rice weevil), 311 nucleotides long. RefSeq lists it as uncharacterized. NCBI's taxonomy places the organism in Eukaryota, Metazoa, Arthropoda, Insecta, Coleoptera, Curculionidae. The transcript is spliced from 3 exons. The record is from RefSeq and is a predicted model, not a curated record.
GAAAUUGAUAAUGUGAAGAAUAACAAUACAGGAACAUAGAAUAACAAGAAAGAAAUUCUAGCAGCAAGUUAGGUUAUGAGAUAAAUUUUAUUUAUAUAGUUUGUUUAAAGAGUUUAGUUUGAAAAAAAGGGACACAGUAAAAAGACAAAACAUUUAGACCCUUUGAAAGAGAAAUGUUUGCAAUGGAUAUUAAUAAAUUCUAGCCAAUUUGUACGAUGUACAAUGCAGGCAAUAUUUCUGCCUCUUAAUGCACUAUUCGCGUAAAAGAAGAUGUGGGUAUUGUAUUUAUAGAACAGAUUUAUUAUUAGUUG